Molecule: long non-coding RNA, 438 nt
Organism: Oncorhynchus tshawytscha (Chinook salmon)
Lineage: Eukaryota; Metazoa; Chordata; Actinopteri; Salmoniformes; Salmonidae
Source: Ensembl
AUAUAUCUGCCUCACUCUCAGUGAAAUCAGUAGUACUGCUAGGUUUUACACAGUAAUAAUAUAUAUCUGCCUCACUCUCAGAGAAAUCAGUAGUACUGCUAGGUUUUACACAGUAAUAAUAUAUAUCUGCCUCACUCUCAGAGGAAUCAGUAGUACUGCUAGGUUUUACACAGUAAUAAUAUAUAUCUGCCUCACUCUCAGAGAAAUCAGUAGUACUGCUAGGUUUUACACAGUAAUAAUAUAUAUCUGCCUCACUCUCAGAGAAAUCAGUAGUACUGCUAGGUUUUAUACAGUAAUAAUAUAUAUCUGCCUCACUCUCAGAGGAAUCAGUAGUACUGCUAGGUUUUACACAGUAAUAAUAUAUAUCUGCCUCACUCUCAGAGAAAUCAGUAGUACUGCUAGGUUUUACACAGUAAUAAUAUAUAUCUGCCUCACUCU